Molecule: transfer RNA, 77 nt
Filed under: Clostridia bacterium
Lineage: Bacteria; Bacillati; Bacillota; Clostridia
Description: tRNA-Arg
Rfam family: tRNA
About the family: Transfer RNA (tRNA) molecules are approximately 80 nucleotides in length. Their secondary structure includes four short double-helical elements and three loops (D, anti-codon, and T loops).
Source: RNAcentral
GCGGUGUUAGCUCAGCUGGAUAGAGUGCCUGGCUACGAACCAGUAGGUCGAGGGUUCGAGUCCCCCGUGCCGCGCCA